GGCUCCCCGUCAGGUAGUAAUAUCCUCUCGUUCUCUUCGUCCCCUCCAAAAUAAUCCUAUUGCUGUGCAACACCUUUAGGAUUCCUCCACCAGCUACCGUCCUGUAGCCUCUCGAAUCUAGUCUGCUCAAUGAAAUAAGAUUCUGUCUAAAAUCAGAUAUAUUUUGGACAUCUCCUAAUCUCCUCACUGCACCAUCAUAUGUCCUCCAGCUGACCGUUCCGAUGCCUCUGAUCGCACAGCUCGAUCCAUCCGGUAGAUAAACAGUGCCCUCACUGUUCUCCAGAGAGUCAAACUGUUCCUCUUUACAACAUACAUGAUAGGUG
RNAcentral lists this long non-coding RNA (323 nucleotides) under Elaeis guineensis (African oil palm). RNAcentral's name for it is "long non-coding RNA (EGUI_LNC031687)". The record is from RNAcentral. Lineage: Eukaryota; Viridiplantae; Streptophyta; Magnoliopsida; Arecales; Arecaceae.